Molecule: ribosomal RNA, 253 nt
Filed under: uncultured bacterium
Lineage: Bacteria
Description: partial 16S ribosomal RNA
Rfam family: Bacterial small subunit ribosomal RNA
Source: RNAcentral
GACGAACCGUGCGAACGUUGUUCGGAUUCACUGGGCUUAAAGGGCGCGUAGGCGGCUUGCCAAGUCAGGGGUGAAAUCUUUCGGCUUAACCGGAAAAGUGCUUCUGAUACUGGCGAGCUGGAGGGAGGUAGGGGCAGAUGGAACUUCCGGUGGAGCGGUGAAAUGCGUAGAUAUCGGAAGGAACGCCCGUGGCGAAAGCGAGGUCCUGGACGCCAACUGACGCUGAGACGCGAAAGCCAGGGGAGCGAACGGG